UUGUACGACCCAUGCUGGCCCA
This 22-nucleotide microRNA is filed under the name Tribolium castaneum (red flour beetle). RNAcentral's name for it is "tca-miR-3851q-3p". Lineage: Eukaryota; Metazoa; Arthropoda; Insecta; Coleoptera; Tenebrionidae. The record is from miRBase by way of RNAcentral.